AGACAGAUACCUCCAGGGAAACACAAGCAUGGACAGCUGGGGCACUGGACUACAGAGGACUAAUGAAUCCUACUUAAGCAGUGAUCAACAGUCCUUUUACCACAAAUAGACGAAUCUGAAAAGGAC
Long non-coding RNA from Camelus dromedarius (Arabian camel), 126 nucleotides. RefSeq lists it as uncharacterized. Lineage: Eukaryota; Metazoa; Chordata; Mammalia; Artiodactyla; Camelidae. The transcript is spliced from 3 exons. The record is from RefSeq and is a predicted model, not a curated record.